This 264-nucleotide long non-coding RNA is filed under the name Aedes aegypti (yellow fever mosquito). RNAcentral describes it as "lncRNA AAEL028197". Lineage: Eukaryota; Metazoa; Arthropoda; Insecta; Diptera; Culicidae. The record is from RNAcentral.
AGCUAUAGUCAUUUAAGAUUCAUGGAACAGCGUUUGAUGUUCAUUAGUUCGUUACUAUUAUAUCAGAAAUAAGAAUUAAAAAGUGCGGAUACGUAAAAGAAUGGAUUUUCUGCCCAAUACAUCCCGUUGCAUGCCCCGCUGCGCAAAACCGCCAGGAACAGCUGCUCCAUUCAUUAGGCUUAUUGAUGAAUAGAUUAUUCUACUGCAUCAGAACAAUAAUUGUUAAUAUUAUGUUGAAUAAAAUACGUUUGUUUAUAUUAAGAA